This 429-nucleotide ribosomal RNA is filed under the name Chloroflexota bacterium. RNAcentral's name for it is "Chloroflexi bacterium partial 16S ribosomal RNA". It matches the Rfam family "Bacterial small subunit ribosomal RNA", at positions 355 to 776 of the family's 1533-position model. The record is from RNAcentral. Lineage: Bacteria; Bacillati; Chloroflexota.
UAGGGAAUCUUCGGCAAUGGACGAAAGUCUGACCGAGCAACGCCGCGUGAGUGAAGAAGGUUUUCGGAUCGUAAAACUCUGUUGUUAGAGAAGAACAAGGACGUUAGUAACUGAACGUCCCCUGACGGUAUCUAACCAGAAAGCCACGGCUAACUACGUGCCAGCAGCCGCGGUAAUACGUAGGUGGCAAGCGUUGUCCGGAUUUAUUGGGCGUAAAGCGAGCGCAGGCGGUUUCUUAAGUCUGAUGUGAAAGCCCCCGGCUCAACCGGGGAGGGUCAUUGGAAACUGGGAGACUUGAGUGCAGAAGAGGAGAGUGGAAUUCCAUGUGUAGCGGUGAAAUGCGUAGAUAUAUGGAGGAACACCAGUGGCGAAGGCGGCGCUCUGGUCUGAAACUGACGCUGAGGCUCGAAAGCGUGGGGAGCAAACAGG